GGGAACGUUGCUAAACCACAAACAUACUAUUAUUUUUAUUACCAAUAUUAUGCUUGAGUAGAUUGCUUAUAUACCUCAUUAAUGCACAAUAUCCAAAUAUUGAUUGUUUUCUUCUUUUUCUAAUGGUCUUUCCUUUCACAAAUGCCCUAGCCCCCGAUGCCUUUUUUUUAUUUUGAAUGAAAGGUUCUGUAUGUUUCCUUUUCAUUUGAGAUUGAUUUUUCAUUAUGUGAUUUUGAUGCCUUUAUUUUGUAAUUUGGUAUGCUACCUGCGGCCAUAUAGUUUGCCCCCCAUUUGAAGAUUUUCAUUUUCAUCAAUCCUGAUUCAUGCUUAUUUCUGUUCUGUUCAGGUGAGAAGGAAGCUUGUAGAAGAAUGGCUUCCGGUUUUGGUUGUAUGCAAAGACAAUGUUUCACCAGUAUCACCCAGCAACAAGUCAUUAUAUCUAGAGCUGGAAGAAACAUUUUUACGAAUCAUCUCCACCUUGCCCAUGUCAGAUGCUCAAGAAUUAUUGCAGCGGUGCCUCAGCUUUUCAACCCGAAAUGUCGAAGAUUAUCCUCACUUGGUGUCAGCAUGCAAAACCUGGUUCAGGCGGGCAGCUCAACCCCUGAAACCAGAUUGUCUCUUUAAUCAGUGAGAUAUCUGUUCAGUUCUGUUGCACCAUUGUUGGUUGGCUUCACAAAUAUUGUGCAUAUGUUUAUAUACUAACUCUGUUCAGAAAGCUGUAGUUUAACAUUGUACAGAUGCCUGUCUUUCUAGGACAAACAACAACCCAGAUACUUAGAUCUUGUUUUGAGGUCUCUGGUUGUUGGCAAUGGCUAGUUGGUUCCCUGAAAUGCAAGAUUUUAGUUGCUUGUAUUUCUUAGUUGAAACUUUAAACGAUGGUUUGGGAAUCAGAGGUCAAAAUGAAUAUACCAGCUUUGAUUCGACCCUUUUUCAAAUAAAAUAGUUCAUUCUAAAAAUUCUUUUCUUAUAAAUAAGGUUAUCAUAUGUAACACAUGAUAGUAAAAAAAAUGAUCAUAUGUAUAAGUAAUAUUUGAUAUCUUAGCUUCACAAUAUAGUAAAUAUAAGUAAUAGGAAAACAUGACAUUAUACUUGAUUCAAUUGUUAUACUUAAUCCUACACGCUUCUAUGGCUCAAUAAUAUUAAAAAAAUUGGCUUCUUGUUACGAGAAUGCGAAAAAUGAAACGCAAGAAAGUCCAAGAUUAUCUUAAUUUUCUAAAGCUUGAAUUCUCACAAGUUUGACAAUAAGUUCCUUGCAAUUUAACUUGUUUUUGUGUCCCACGAUCAUACCUUAAUGAAGCUUUAAGAGUUCAACUUGAGAGCUUUGAAAACCAUGAUUACGAGAUAGCUUAACAUACUGCCUUGUUGACCACAUUCAAAUCUGCGUUGUUUUUUUUUUUAAUGGUAAAAUGGGGACGAAAUACCUCUUGACUACCGGACAAACAGGGACAGGGCGCAGUGGCAUGUUGAGGAAAAACAGCAAAGGACUGAUCCAAAAUAAGAAUUAAGAACAUCAAGUGAUCUUCUUGAAGAGUUACCCAACGAUUGAGAUUUUAUAACGCAGUGGAGUUUAAACCUUUAGCCUAUGGAUAGAUGGAAGUUAAAACCGAAACCUAUACUCAGCUGCGCCAUCUAAGUGGCCAUUAUUUACAAGCAAGCAGAUUUUAAGAAGAUCAUGUCAAACAUAACCAAAUAUAUCAAAAGAAAUAUUCAUAACAUUCAAUAUUUUAACUUCUAAUAAUGUAAAUAAAAGUAAUCAAGAAAACAUGACAGUAUACUUCAUUCAAUUGCUAUAUUAUACUUUAUCCUGCACAACUAUAGCUCAAGAAUACAUAAAAAAGUUAUGGCGAAAACAUAAAAUUUAGUUCAUGUUUGGAAAUUCUCAUACGCCUGGGAAUCUUGGCAAAAUGUUAUAUGCUUACGUGUCAUUCUUAGUGCGAGCUUGUUAGGGAAGAUAACUUAUUGGGCUUUGGAUUUAUGUUGUGGCCUGUUUUGUAGUCUGGGCCUCGAAUUCGCGUAGUUGGAUCCCGGUCAGGAAUAAAUUUAUCAUCGACAUUAUUUGAACUUUAAUAUCAGUUAUGCUAUAUGGUAUGAGUGUAUUCUGAACGAAUUGUGCAAAUUUGAUGAUGUGUGUGUGCGUUUUAACAAGCAGUCCAUCCUAAGAAGGUAAUAGAUAUUACAGUCUCAUCACCCGCUUCGCCGGAAAACAUUUGUGUCACAACUCACAACCCUCUGUGCUAAAGUGCUCUCCAAUCUCAAAAUUUGGAAUGAGGCGCAUCAUCUUUUUCUCUCCAGUCAAUGGUUAUAGCUUGUUUCAUUCAUUGAAUUGUAAUUGAUGCAAUAGUUGUGAUUUCCAUUUCAAGUUUAGUACUUGGAAGAGAUCGUGGAGUUGAUAUCUCGUAUCUGUACUUAGUUCUUUAUGAACCUUAUUUUCUUUACAUGUGUGCUGGUGGUUUGCAUAUCUAUAAGCUUUUAUUGCAGAAUCCACGCCAUUAAAAAUUCAGCGGUGAUUGCAUUUGUUCAUCCUAAAAGGGAUUUGUUCAAUGCUGGUGCUCAAUUUCUUCUCUUUGCAAAAAAUCCAAAAAUAGGCUGCUUAAUUUAUUCAUUCACAAACAUAUACCUUUUGUAAGGUGAAUUGAAUUCCUUAUGACUACAACAUUUUAGUGCAUACUUGUUUACGGUUUAUACAAAAUUCAAAGCUAUGUUAGCACAAAAGUAACAAAGAGCUGCUGCGGGAGUAGGGGAACGUUGCUAAACCACAAACAUACUAUUAUUUUUAUUACCAAUAUUAUGCUUGAGUAGAUUGCUUAUAUACCUCAUUAAUGCACAAUAUCCAAAUAUUGAUUGUUUUCUUCUUUUUCUAAUGGUCUUUCCUUUCACAAAUGCCCUAGCCCCCGAUGCCUUUUUUUUAUUUUGAAUGAAAGGUUCUGUAUGUUUCCUUUUCAUUUGAGAUUGAUUUUUCAUUAUGUGAUUUUGAUGCCUUUAUUUUGUAAUUUGGUAUGCUACCUGCGGCCAUAUAGUUUGCCCCCCAUUUGAAGAUUUUCAUUUUCAUCAAUCCUGAUUCAUGCUUAUUUCUGUUCUGUUCAGGUGAGAAGGAAGCUUGUAGAAGAAUGGCUUCCGGUUUUGGUUGUAUGCAAAGACAAUGUUUCACCAGUAUCACCCAGCAACAAGUCAUUAUAUCUAGAGCUGGAAGAAACAUUUUUACGAAUCAUCUCCACCUUGCCCAUGUCAGAUGCUCAAGAAUUAUUGCAGCGGUGCCUCAGCUUUUCAACCCGAAAUGUCGAAGAUUGUCCUCACUUGGUGUCAGCAUUCAACACCUGGUUCCGGCGGGCAGCUCAACCCCUGAAACCAGAUUGUCUCUUUGAUCAGUGAGAUAUCUGUUCAGUUCUGUUGCAC
Molecule: long non-coding RNA, 3393 nt
Filed under: Lotus japonicus
Lineage: Eukaryota; Viridiplantae; Streptophyta; Magnoliopsida; Fabales; Fabaceae
Description: long non-coding RNA (LJAP_LNC001715)
Source: RNAcentral